Daphnia magna is the source of this 633-nucleotide long non-coding RNA. RefSeq lists it as uncharacterized. Lineage: Eukaryota; Metazoa; Arthropoda; Branchiopoda; Diplostraca; Daphniidae. The transcript is spliced from 2 exons. The record is from RefSeq and is a predicted model, not a curated record.
CUGGUUUCCGUUUGCUGUUUAAAUGCAGUCUCUUGUAGUUCGAGUUUAGACAACAAGACGAGCAUCACGCGCGUUCUACUUGUUACAGUCAUACAAGACCGCAUUCCGGUUCCACGCUUACUAGUUUUCGAACAACGCAGUUCGGUGGCAGAAGAGUCACGAGCAUCACCUGAACCAGCAUUAGCGCUCCAUGUAUGUGAUCCCGUCCGAAGUAUUUCGUAAUAUUUUUCUGUUUGUUUUUAACUGCAACUUGAGGAAAACUUGCGACCCAAUUCACACGUUUUUGAAAUAAUGGUUUAAUCAAUUACCUCUGAACUACGGAUGAAUGCCAUUCGUUCGCAGCCAAAGAACGGAAACAACAGUUCCAAUUGGUCGGUUGUUCCAGUUUCCGCAGAUACAGCAGGUUUCGGAUUCUUCCCACAGUCUACAGAAUAGAAGAAUGCAAAUCAAGAAUCUGAGCAUUUGAUAAUGGACUUAAUUAUGAAAACUUAAGAUGAAUUCGAAAUCCCUCGUUUUAACGGCAAAUUUACGUAGAUGUAACGCUCGGAAAAAGAUAAAAUCCCUCACCUUGUUUGUUUAUUUACGGUGAUACUCAAUUGCCAAAGGUGCUAAAUAUAUUGGGUUUCUCCUGUG